UUAUUGAAAAUUUUUUUUGCUGCCCAAAAGUUGCAUUUGUGGAUUCAGAAUCAUUUUGCUAGGACAAAAUAUUUUACAGUCAUAUGGGGCCGGCAGUCGAAAUUUAGCCAUUUCCACUUCUGCCUCUGCAAAACUCAUCUCGUUGUAACAAAAGUAUUCUGCAUUUUUGUAUUCACCAGACUUUGACGCUCUGGGUCCAACAGCUGCAAAAAAUGUGAAAUAAAUUUACUAGACUCAGAGCUAGCAACGAACUUUCCAAACCUCAUGAUCCGAUUUAAUUACUCAGCUGGGGUGAAUAGAGACUUGAAAAAUAUUAUAAUCAUACUAGUCUUUGACAGAAUCCUGAAGAUUACAUAGAAUUACCCAACUAUGUAUUACAUACCAUAUACAGAAAUUUCGGAUCACCAUUUGUCAUCUAUAGACAAAUGAUGCAGUUUGGAUAAAUAACUUACGGGUAUCAGGCAUAUCGACACACUUUUUGCUAAGUCCAGGAACAUUUGUGAUUUGCGAUCCCGAUGUUGAUGAACCGCUGCUACUUGUCAGAAACUGCUGAUUGUACGGUCUCAUCAAAAGUGUAUAUCGGACAUUCUGAAGGU
Molecule: unclassified non-coding RNA, 596 nt
Filed under: Athalia rosae (coleseed sawfly)
Lineage: Eukaryota; Metazoa; Arthropoda; Insecta; Hymenoptera; Athaliidae
Description: misc RNA ENSAEAG00005007235.1
Source: RNAcentral